This 468-nucleotide ribosomal RNA is filed under the name uncultured bacterium. RNAcentral describes it as "partial 16S ribosomal RNA". It matches the Rfam family "Bacterial small subunit ribosomal RNA", at positions 28 to 507 of the family's 1533-position model. The record is from RNAcentral.
GACGAACGCUGGCGGCGUGCUUAACACAUGCAAGUCGAACGGAAAGGCCCUGCUUUUGUGGGGUGCUCGAGUGGCGAACGGGUGAGUAACACGUGAGUAACCUGCCCUUGACUUUGGGAUAACUUCAGGAAACUGGGGCUAAUACCGGAUAGGAGCUCCUGCUGCAUGGUGGGGGUUGGAAAGUUUCGGCGGUUGGGGAUGGACUCGCGGCUUAUCAGCUUGUUGGUGGGGUAGUGGCUUACCAAGGCUUUGACGGGUAGCCGGCCUGGGAGGGUGACCGGCCACAUCAGGAUUGAGAUGAGGCCCAGCCUCGAAUGGUACGCGAGGGUGGGGAGGGUUACAUUGUAGGAGGGGCGCAAGUCUGACCCCGCCGCGCGGGGGGUGUCAGCCAGGGGUUAGGAUUGUAAAGCUGUCUUAGACGAGAUGUGAAUGACAGUAAUGGGUGAAUAAGCACCGGCUAACUCCGUG